UCUCACUCAUAGUUGUACAAAUUACAGGGCUUUUUUUUAAUUGUCAUAAAACAUAUACAUUAUUCAUCUAUUCAGUUUCAUCUGAAGAGAAUCCAACAAAGAAGAAAUUUUAUUUUCCAAUAAAAUAUUAAAGCUGCUUUACCCCACAAGAGACAGAGCAGAAAUUCCAUCCAUGAUCUAUGUGAAGACACUGAAGAUCAGAGAAGUUGUGUGGAAUGCCUAAGGAAGGUGUAGUAACCAGCAGUAAAUGUUAAGGCCACAUCACAUGUACUACACUGAGACAGUCACGUGGGAAAGGCUACUCGGCAAAACCCCUACAGGCCUGCACACUGGGGUGGAGCCACAGAAGUCUGCAGGGAGGAGCCUGGCCCCUCCUCUUUCUGGGUGAAACCUGGGAUUCAAUCUGCAAGGCAGGAAGCCCAGGGGCAAGAAGCACACUCUUUCGCCUUGCUGAUAGUCUCCCUUUCCCCUUGUCUUCCUUUUCACCCAAUAAAACCCUGCCUUAGUCACCCUUUAAAUUGUCUGCGAGCCU
This 532-nucleotide long non-coding RNA is filed under the name Homo sapiens (human). RNAcentral's name for it is "non-protein coding lnc-SLC38A2-1:2". The record is from RNAcentral. Lineage: Eukaryota; Metazoa; Chordata; Mammalia; Primates; Hominidae.